Molecule: ribosomal RNA, 515 nt
Filed under: uncultured Neisseria sp.
Lineage: Bacteria; Pseudomonadati; Pseudomonadota; Betaproteobacteria; Neisseriales; Neisseriaceae
Description: bacterial SSU rRNA
Rfam family: Bacterial small subunit ribosomal RNA
Source: RNAcentral
CGGUUAGUCCUUGGCGUACAGAUUGUAACGCUGGCGGCGAUGCUUUACUACAUGCAAGUCGGACGGCAGCACAGAGAAGCUUGCUUCUUGGGUGGCGAGUGGCGAACGGGUGAGUACAUAUCGGAACGUACCGGGCGAGUGGGGAGUAACUAAUCGAAAGAUUAGCUAAUACCGCAUAUUUUCUGAGGAAGAAAGCAGGGGACCAUUUGGCCUUGCGCUGUUUGAGCGGCCGAUAUCUGAUUAGCUAGUUGGUGGGGUAAAGGCCUACCAAGGCGACGAUCAGUAGCGGGUCUGAGAGGAUGAUCCGCCACACUGGGACUGAGACACGGCCCAGACUCCUACGGGAGGCAGCAGUCGGGGAAUUUUGGACAAUGGGCGCAAGCCUGAUCCAGCCAUGCCGCGUGUCUGAAGAAGGCCUUCGGGUUGUAAAGGACUUUUGUCAGGGAAGAAAAGGGCGGGGUUAAUACCCCUGUCUGAUGACGGUACCUGAAGAAUAAGCACCGGCUAACUACGUG